Molecule: long non-coding RNA, 304 nt
Organism: Clupea harengus (Atlantic herring)
Lineage: Eukaryota; Metazoa; Chordata; Actinopteri; Clupeiformes; Clupeidae
Exons: 2
Source: RefSeq, a predicted model, not a curated record
GGUGCCUCUGGGUGAAGGUGCUCUGCAUGCUGGAGCUGAGGCGGUUGACGGGCUCCUUGAGGUCGGAGCGGCUCUGCUGGCUGAGCUUCUCCUCCAUCUCCAGCGUGCAGCAGGAGUAGCCCUGGGGACACACCUUCAGAUGAGCACCUGCAAGAGCCAGAGAGGGGCACACUCAGUCUCCAGUCGACACCACACAAAAGAGCACAGAAACAAGACAGGAAGCGCCACGCUAACAUCGACACGCGGAGGAUUACACCACUCCUGUGGAAUGUGCGCUUAUUGGGGAAUGUGGCAUUUCAAACUU